This 1802-nucleotide ribosomal RNA is filed under the name Campylobacter coli. RNAcentral's name for it is "partial 23S ribosomal RNA". It matches the Rfam family "Bacterial large subunit ribosomal RNA", at positions 1 to 1667 of the family's 2925-position model. Lineage: Bacteria; Pseudomonadati; Campylobacterota; Epsilonproteobacteria; Campylobacterales; Campylobacteraceae. The record is from RNAcentral.
AAAAAAGGUAAGCUACUAAGAGCGAAUGGUGGAUGCCUUGACUGGUAAAGGCGAUGAAGGACGUACUAGACUGCGAUAAGCUACGGGGAGCUGUCAAGAAGCUUUGAUCCGUAGAUUUCCGAAUGGGGCAACCCAAUGUAUAGAGAUAUACAUUACCUAUAUAGGAGCGAACGAGGGGAAUUGAAACAUCUUAGUACCCUCAGGAAAAGAAAUCAAUAGAGAUUGCGUCAGUAGCGGCGAGCGAAAGCGCAAGAGGGCAAACCCAGUGCUUGCACUGGGGGUUGUAGGACUGCAAUGUGCAAGAGGUGAGUUUAGCAGAACAUUCUGGAAAGUAUAGCCAUAGAGGGUGAUAGUCCCGUAUGCGAAAAACAAACCUUAGCUAGCAGUAUCCUGAGUAGGGCGGGACACGAGAAAUCCUGUCUGAAGCUGGGUCGACCACGAUCCAACCCUAAAUACUAAUACCAGAUCGAUAGUGCACAAGUACCGUGAGGGAAAGGUGAAAAGAACUGAGGUGAUCAGAGUGAAAUAGAACCUGAAACCAUUUGCUUACAAUCAUUCAGAGCCCUAUGUAGCAAUACAGGGUGAUGGACUGCCUUUUGCAUAAUGAGCCUGCGAGUUGUGGUGUCUGGCAAGGUUAAGCAAACGCGAAGCCGUAGCGAAAGCGAGUCUGAAUAGGGCGCUUAGUCAGAUGCUGCAGACCCGAAACGAAGUGAUCUAUCCAUGAGCAAGUUGAAGCUAGUGUAAGAACUAGUGGAGGACUGAACCCAUAGGCGUUGAAAAGCCCCGGGAUGACUUGUGGAUAGGGGUGAAAGGCCAAUCAAACUUCGUGAUAGCUGGUUCUCUCCGAAAUAUAUUUAGGUAUAGCGUUGUGUCGUAAUAUAAGGGGGUAGAGCACUGAAUGGGCUAGGGCAUACACCAAUGUACCAAACCCUAUCAAACUCCGAAUACCUUAUAUGUAAUCACAGCAGUCAGGCGGCGAGUGAUAAAAUCCGUCGUCAAGAGGGAAACAACCCAGACUACCAGCUAAGGUCCCUAAAUCUUACUUAAGUGGAAAACGAUGUGAAGUUACUUAAACAACCAGGAGGUUGGCUUAGAAGCAGCCAUCCUUUAAAGAAAGCGUAAUAGCUCACUGGUCUAGUGAUUUUGCGCGGAAAAUAUAACGGGGCUAAAGUAAGUACCGAAGCUGUAGACUUGCGCACAACUUAGAUUAUUUAAGUUUAGAAUAUGAGAAACUAAGUUAUAUGUUUAGUUAUAUUUUUACUGAUUUUUAUAGAGUAAAGAUAGAAAUAAAACUUAGUAAAAUCAGUAAAAAUAUUCUUAGACUAAAGUUAAGUAGUUUAAGUUGUGUGCAAGUGGUAGGAGAGCGUUCUAUUUGCGUCGAAGGUAUACCGGUAAGGAGUGCUGGAGCGAAUAGAAGUGAGCAUGCAGGCAUGAGUAGCGAUAAUUAAUGUGAGAAUCAUUAACGCCGUAAACCCAAGGUUUCCUACGCGAUGCUCGUCAUCGUAGGGUUAGUCGGGUCCUAAGUCGAGUCCGAAAGGGGUAGACGAUGGCAAAUUGGUUAAUAUUCCAAUACCAACAUUAGUGUGCGAUGGAAGGACGCUUAGGGCUAAGGGGGCUAGCGGAUGGAAGUGCUAGUCUAAGGUCGUAGGAGGUUAUACAGGCAAAUCCGUAUAACAAUACUCCGAGAACUGAAAGGCUUUUUGAAGUCUUCGGAUGGAUAGAAGAACCCCUGAUGCCGUCGAGCCAAGAAAAGUUUCUAAGUUUAGCUAAUGUUGCCCGUACCGUAAACCGACACAGGUGGG